UGAGGUUGCUUGCUUGCGUUUACGGGUCAACAUACGGUGAGAUGCUGCUUUUGUAGUAUUCUCUACUCUUCUUUAUCGCCCGUGGGAAAGUCCGCGAAUAGCCUGACAAUGCUUUUGGUAGGCAGCACUCGAAAGGGUGUGGUAGGGGUACCAGACAACCAUGGCCUGCUUUUCCUUAUGCCAACGAUGAGAGCGUCUUCGGAUUCUCUUUAGGAUAUGGGAUUGGUGGGUUAUUGAAAAUCUUCCCCCCUGGUGUUUUGUUAUGAAGUGCAAUACGCGAGACCAAGUUUUACUUGGCAACUCAAUGCGGAUUACACAGCAUCCUCA
RNAcentral lists this RNase P RNA (327 nucleotides) under Lichtheimia corymbifera JMRC:FSU:9682. RNAcentral describes it as "Nuclear RNase P". It matches the Rfam family "Nuclear RNase P". From Rfam's summary of the family: Ribonuclease P (RNase P) is a ubiquitous endoribonuclease, found in archaea, bacteria and eukarya as well as chloroplasts and mitochondria. The record is from Rfam by way of RNAcentral. Lineage: Eukaryota; Fungi; Mucoromycota; Mucoromycetes; Mucorales; Lichtheimiaceae.